This 484-nucleotide ribosomal RNA is filed under the name uncultured bacterium. RNAcentral's name for it is "partial 16S ribosomal RNA". It matches the Rfam family "Bacterial small subunit ribosomal RNA", at positions 30 to 507 of the family's 1533-position model. The record is from RNAcentral.
AUUGAACGCUGGCGGCAGGCCUAACACAUGCAAGUCGAGCGGAUGAAGGGAGCUUGCUCCUGGAUUCAGCGGCGGACGGGUGAGUAAUGCCUAGGAAUCUGCCUGGUAGUGGGGGAUAACGUCCGGAAACGGGCGCUAAUACCGCAUACGUCCUGAGGGAGACAGUGGGGGAUCUUCGGACCUUACGCUAUCAGAUGAGCCUAGGUCGGAUUAGCUAGUUGGUGGGGUAAAGGCCUACCAAGGCGACGAUCCGUAACUGGUCUGAGAGGAUGAUCAGUCACACUGGAACUGAGACACGGUCCAGACUCCUACGGGAGGCAGCAGUGGGGAAUAUUGGACAAUGGGCGAAAGCCUGAUCCAGCCAUGCCGCGUGUGUGAAGAAGGUCUUCGGAUUGUAAAGCACUUUAAGUUGGGAGGAAGGGCAGUAAGUUAAUACCUUGCUGUUGUGACGUUACCAACAGAAUAAGCACCGGCUAACUUCGUG